GAGUCUGAACUUGCACGCAGCACCCCGAGGAUAAGAUUUUUAAAAACCUCUUUUAUUUUGAGAUAGUUUUCAACUCAGAAGAGUUGAGAAAACAGCACAGAGAAUCCCCGCCCACCCAGCUUCUCCUUCUGUUCACGUGUUACCUAACCAUGGAACAGUGAUCAAAGCUGAGACACUGGCACUGGCGCAGGGCUGUCACUACAGACUUGACUCAGGGGCAUUUUCCCUCCGCAAUGAUCAAGAAGUACUAGCUAGCUUUGCUGUGUUGAACGGCAACGCCCUGAGCCAGCCAGAGCACCUCCAGGAAAGGACCGCAGCCGUCACUGCGUGGGCACCGGGCGCUGCCCACCUCUCCUCGGGGGAGGACUGUGCCCUGGCCGCGCGGGACCCCCAGCCGCGGGCUGCAGACACCACAGCCACGGCAAGGCAGUCGCUGCGUCCCUGACCCCAGCGGGCUGCAGGCGCCCCAGGACUCCGCCGGGUCCCUGCUGGAGAUGCCGCUCGAGGCGGUGGGGUUUGCUCUCCCUUCCGCCAGAGGCCCCCUCGGCAUCCCCCGACGUCUCUGCCUCCAGCUCCACGUGCUCCUGGCAAAGACAGAGCAUCGCAGAGUCUUCCUAGCGGGCUGGAGGGGCUGCUUCUACAAGCAACAGCGGCUCCCGGGUAUGGGGCCUCGCUGGGGGCGUGGAUUCGAGCCCCCUUCCUCUGCCAGGGCCUUCCUCGGAGCUCUCUGAUUGCACCCAGACUGAACAGAGAGGAGCACCGAGGUUACAAAAUGGGGCCGCUGCCUGGAGCUCAAGGGAAGGCUGGCCCGGGCCCGCCCCGUAAGGACCGGCAAGCCGCACCUGUCUCUCCGUCGCCCUCCGGACUCGCAGGCCUUGCCCCCGCACGGCACUACCUACCCGAUUUGUUUUUGUUCUUCCGCCGCACCAGCCUUGGCUGUUUCUCCCAGCACGUGGCAGAAGAUGCCGCCCCUUCCACUCCCAACGUUACAAGGAUGUUUCUCAAACGUCUGAGUUGGUCCUCUCCGCGUCCAUUCCAAAGUCACAGAAAAAUAUCUGAGCAGUUGAGAUGGUCAGAGCGGAUUGUCAGACGGAGGAUAUGGUGAUGCCCUGAGUUCCGAUUGCAGAAGACGCCUCUCAGCCUGGGCCAAAAGCUUCUCCAAGGAUGUAUGGACAUGAGGCGCCGGGGAAGGUGGUCACAGAGGGUCAUAGGAUGUAAUGACGUAGCUGCCUGGACCCACACCUGUUAGGGCUCAGGGAUGUGUGUGUGGUCUUGUGGUUGGACAGAGACAUCCCUAAGCGUCUACCACGUCAGAGAGAUAACCAGAAAGAGGAAAAGUUGGAGACACCCUCCAUCCAGAAAUUUCCUUUCUUGAGGGUACCCGCCUGCUGUUCACUUCAGCAAAGUUCCUCAUUAACAUGGCCCUGCUGAGUCCAGAGAUUUGGUCCCAGAUUAUCUAAUCAUCCUCUGUCUUCCCUGGAGUGGAUAAACUGAUAUAUGCUGGGAAGCUUUGGUGAGUUUACAUCUCUUUUAAUAUGCAUUGGGCACAGAUGGUUACCAGGUUGUCUGCUAUCUGUAAGUCUUCUUUCAUCAAAGGCUGAUCAAACUUCAGUGCAAGCAGCUUUAAAGGGACAAGCUUCUGGGCUUGGAAAUGCACGGAUAAUACACACGUUGCUGUGGUGGCUCCGUUGUUAAUGAAAGAAAAAUGAUCCACAUCCUCUUCUGGGAUAACGAAGUCUCUGAAUAUAUUUAUUUCAAGAUUUAGGGGCUGGGAGGAACUAGCCACAAAUCACAGAGCAACCAUUAACGAGCCUCUGUCCCUACCUGUUAAGCUUAUUAACUGCCUGUUCCCUACAGCGCUAUUUCCCACCUGGGGCAACACAAUGGCUGCUUCUGCCGUUUCAGCGGCUGAAAAACACAGAAGUUCAUCAAAGGCACGGGAGGACCUGGAAAUGCAAUCAGGAGACGUGUGCCGGCUGAGAUUGCUGGGGCAGUGGGAGGUGGCCGGGGGGAAGGAUCUGGUGCUGUCUGAGCUGAGAUUUAGCUAAUUAAAUCCGGCUGUCCUUUGCUCUGUCUUCUCACUCCAUGCAAGCCAAGGGCGUGAAAGGUUCCGUCCCUGCCCUCAAGGAGCCCCUGUGCUCUUCGGGUGGGGAGGCUCCACGGAACUGAACACAGGGAUUCUUCUGGGACGCGGGUCGGUGGCAGCGAUGCUGCGGCUACAUGAGUAAGUGCUAAAGUCACAAAAAGAGUGGACAGGGCUCUUAGCUGGGGCAGAGGGGACUUCGGUUUUGCUCCCGUUCUACCCUGUGACAGGGGCCGAGCUGUUCAUUUUCUUUGUCUCAGUUUUCUUCUGAAGAGUUUGACCUUGGUCAUUGCUAAAAUAAAAUAUUCAUGAGAUGCACUCUUAUGUAUCCAUGAGACGGGUGUAGGGAUGGACAAUUGCUUCGAGGGAGGAGCCUUAAUC
Bos taurus (domestic cattle) is the source of this 2464-nucleotide long non-coding RNA. The record is from Ensembl. Lineage: Eukaryota; Metazoa; Chordata; Mammalia; Artiodactyla; Bovidae.